Molecule: ribosomal RNA, 804 nt
Filed under: Oscillospiraceae bacterium
Lineage: Bacteria; Bacillati; Bacillota; Clostridia; Eubacteriales; Oscillospiraceae
Description: bacterial SSU rRNA
Rfam family: Bacterial small subunit ribosomal RNA
Source: RNAcentral
AUGCAAGUCGAACGAAGCUUAGGACUUCGGUUUUAAGCUUAGUGGCGGACGCCUGAGUAACGCGUGAGUAACCUGCCUUACAGAGGGGGAUAACGUCUGGAAACGGACGCUAAUACCGCAUGACAUUUCAGCACCACAUGGUGCAGAAAUCAAAGGAGCAAUCCGCUGUAAGAUGGACUCGCGUCCGAUUAGCUAGAUGGUGAGAUAACAGCCCACCAUGGCGACGAUCGGUAGCCGGACUGAGAGGUUGAACGGCCACAUUGGGACUGAGACACGGCCCAGACUCCUACGGGAGGCAGCAGUGGGGGAUAUUGCACAAUGGAGGAAACUCUGAUGCAGCAACGCCGCGUGAAGGAAGACGGUCUUCGGAUUGUAAACUUUUGUACUUGGGGACGAUAAUGACGGUACCCAAGCAGCAAGCUCCGGCUAACUACGUGCCAGCAGCCGCGGUAAUACGUAGGGAGCGAGCGUUGUCCGGAUUUACUGGGUGUAAAGGGUGCGUAGGCGGCUUGGCAAGUCAGUUGUGAAAACUAUGGGCUCAACCCAUAGCCUGCAAUUGAAACUGUUGAGCUUGAGUGAAGUAGAGGUAGGUGGAAUUCCCGGUGUAGCGGUGAAAUGCGUAGAGAUCGGGAGGAACACCAGUGGCGAAGGCGACCUACUGGGCUUUAACUGACGCUGAGGCACGAAAGCAUGGGUAGCAAACAGGAUUAGAUACCCUGGUAGUCCAUGCCGUAAACGAUGAUUACUAGGUGUGGGGGUCUGACCCCCUCCGUGCCGGAGUUAACGCAAUAAGUAAUCCACCUG